This 497-nucleotide ribosomal RNA is filed under the name uncultured bacterium. RNAcentral's name for it is "partial 16S ribosomal RNA". It matches the Rfam family "Bacterial small subunit ribosomal RNA", at positions 28 to 507 of the family's 1533-position model. The record is from RNAcentral.
GAUGAACGCUGGCGGCGUGCCUAAUACAUGCAAGUCGAGCGAACGGACGAGAAGCUUGCUUCUCUGAUGUUAGCGGCAGACGGGUGAGUAACACGUGGAUAACCUACCUAUAAGACUGGGAUAACUUCGGGAAACCGGAGCUAAUACCGGAUAAUAUUUUGAACCGCAUGGUUCAAAAGUGAAAGACGGUCUUGCUGUCACUUAUAGAUGGAUCCGCGCUGCAUUAGCUAGUUGGUAAGGUAACGGCUUACCAAGGCAACGAUGCAUAGCCGACCUGAGAGGGAGAUCGGACACACUGGAACUGAGACACGGUCCAGACUCCUACGGGAGGCAGCAGUAGGGAAUCUUACGCAAUGGGCGAAAGCCUGACGGAGCAACGCCGCGUAAGUGAUGAAGGUCUUAGGAUCGUAAAACUCUGUAAUUAGGGAAGAACAUAUGUGUAAGUAACUGUGCACAUCUUGACGGUACCUAAUCAGAAAGCCACGGCUAACUACGUG